CAGCAGCCGCGGUAAUACGAAGGGGGCUAGCGUUGCUCGGAAUUACUGGGCGUAAAGGGAGCGUAGGCGGACAUUUAAGUCAGGGGUGAAAUCCCGGGGCUCAACCUCGGAAUUGCCUUUGAUACUGGGUGUCUUGAGUAUGAGAGAGGUAUGUGGAACUCCGAGUGUAGAGGUGAAAUUCGUAGAUAUUCGGAAGAACACCAGUGGCGAAGGCGACAUACUGGCUCAUUACUGACGCUGAGGCUCGAAAGCGUGGGGAGCAAACAGGAUUAGAUACCCGGGUAGUCCCUGUCUCUUAUAA
RNAcentral lists this ribosomal RNA (301 nucleotides) under uncultured bacterium. RNAcentral describes it as "partial 16S ribosomal RNA". It matches the Rfam family "Bacterial small subunit ribosomal RNA", at positions 509 to 809 of the family's 1533-position model. The record is from RNAcentral.